GGGGGGGGGGGGGGGGGGGGGGGGGGGGGGGGGGGGGAGGGGGGGGGGGGUGCGGGGGUGGGGGGCGCGAGUGGGGAGGGGGGGAGUGGCGCGGGAGUAAGCGGGCGUUGACUGGGGGAUAACGUCAGGAAACGGGGGCGAGUACCGGCUAGGGGGUCCUGCGGCCGGGUGGGGGGUGGGAGAUUGCGGCGGUUGGGGAUGGACUCGCGGCUGAUCAGCUUGUUGGGUGGGUAGUGGCUUAACAAGGCUUUGACGGGUAGCCGGCCUGAGAGGGUGACCGGCCACAUUGGGACUGAGAUACGGCCCAGACUCCUACGGGAGGCAGCAGUGGGGAAUAUUGCACAAUGGGCGGAAGCCUGAUGCAGCCACGCCGCGUGCGGGAUGACGGCCUUCGGGUUGUAAACCGCUUUCGCCUGUGACGAAGCGUGAGUGACGGUAAUGGGUAAAGAAGCACCGGCUAACUACGUG
Molecule: ribosomal RNA, 468 nt
Filed under: uncultured bacterium
Lineage: Bacteria
Description: partial 16S ribosomal RNA
Rfam family: Bacterial small subunit ribosomal RNA (bases 58-468)
Source: RNAcentral